UUUCCGUAGGUGAACCUGCGGAAGGAUCAUUCAUAAUAAGUGUUUUAUGGCACUUUUUUAAAUCCAUAUCCACCUUGUGUGCAAUGUCAGGGUUGAUUUUUCUCUCGAGAGGUUCAGCCCCAAACAUCAACUAUAUCUCAACUCUUUGUCUGAAAAAUAUUAGGAAUAAAACAAUUCAAAAUACAACUUUCAACAACGGAUCUCUUGGCUCUC
RNAcentral lists this unclassified non-coding RNA (213 nucleotides) under plant metagenome. RNAcentral describes it as "partial contains small subunit ribosomal RNA, internal transcribed spacer 1, and 5.8S ribosomal RNA". The record is from RNAcentral.